GCACAAGCGGUGGAGCAUGUGGUUUAAUUCGACGCAACGCGCAGAACCUUACCAGCCCUUGACAUGUCCAGGACCGGCACCAGAGAUGGAGCCUUCUCUUCGGAGCCUGGAGCACAGGUGCUGCAUGGCUGUCGUUAGCUCGUGUCGUGAGAUGUUGGGUUAAGUCCCGCAACGAGCGCAACCCCCGUCUUUAGUUGCUACCAUUUAGUUGAGCACUCUAAAGAGACUGCCGGUGAUAAGCCGCGAGGAAGGUGGGGAUGACGUCAAGUCCUCAUGGCCCUUACGGGCUGGGCUACACACGUGCUACAAUGGCGGUGACAAUGGGAUGCUAAGGGGCGACCCCUCGCAAAUCUCAAAAAGCCGUCUCAGUUCGGAUUGGGCUCUGCAACUCGAGCCCAUGAAGUUGGAAUCGCUAGUAAUCGUGGAUCAGCAUGCCACGGUGAAUACGUUCCCGGGC
Molecule: ribosomal RNA, 457 nt
Filed under: uncultured Afipia sp.
Lineage: Bacteria; Pseudomonadati; Pseudomonadota; Alphaproteobacteria; Hyphomicrobiales; Nitrobacteraceae
Description: bacterial SSU rRNA
Rfam family: Bacterial small subunit ribosomal RNA
Source: RNAcentral